CAUGUACUUUCUGACACAAGGCGUGUUCAUAAUGCUUGUCCCAGACGAGUGAGUGAGCGGGUCGGUCGGUUUGUUGUUGGAUACUGUCUACACCAAGGUUGGCGUGCCGGACGGUGACGUAAAAGCACAAGUGGGCGUAUGGCUGGACGUCGAGACCGGAUGUUGUGCUCCCUCAACCAGUUGCGUACGGGUCUGCCACUAAUUGUGAGAAUCGAUCGCAGUCGUCAAGAAGGUCUGCCUCCCAAAGACAACUACAAACAAGAUGCUGCCUCUAACAAGAGUUGGAACACUCGUUGCGAUAUAUAUCACAGCAACAUGGCAAUUAUCAGGGAUGGUAACCAUAAAAACACCCGGCAAAUUUAAGCAAAUAAAUACCGCAGAAUACGGCAUUGACAUCCUUGGUACGAAAUGGCAAUAUAUCCGGGUUCGUUGCUGUAUGGAUGCCUUAGUGCUCCUAUUUUCACAAGACCGAAGCAAGAAGGCAGAGAUAUGUCUUGGAGUAUCCAGUAAUUCAAUCAGCAAAUUAAAAGCAUGCAAGAAUUGUGUUUUAUUUAGUACCAAGCUUCAUCGAUACCUCAGCUGUGUUGAGAAAAGGCCAUUCUGGAUCAGUUGGAUCGGUGGGACUUUCAAACUAGGUCGCGGACACUAUGUUGGCGAGGGGGAAAUCCUAACCUCUUCUGAAAGGGAAAUGACCUUCAGGCCAUCAUCUAUGGUGUUUACUUCCGGAUUUGGAAUUGGUUAUUGGGAUAUUGAAGACAAUCCAUCAAACUGUGCCCACUUCAAACAUAAGGCUAAUGACAAGAGGAUAUCACGACCGGUGUUCCACACUCUGUCCACCAGGUCAUCUCUGAGAUGCGUUGCUUCAUGCCAACGUCUACGGAUGUGCAAGAGUGCUAACUACAAGGGGACAGACAAGAGGUGCAUUCUGUACACGAACACGCCAAGACCCAAAGAUCUCAUUGAUGAAGAUGGAUGGAAGGUCUUCAUUAAAGUCUAAAUAUGAAUAAAUUGAGUGAGUAACAGGAAGCAGAUGAAAAUAUCUUUUGGUAAGCAAAGGUACAAGAGGACGAGCGAUGACCUCUAUUAGAUGGUGGACAGAGGAUAAGCUCUACCUACCCCGGCAUCAUCCACCGCGACCAUGUUCCGCUGCUCCACCUUAUACUACUUCCCCGAUUAAUAGCAACGCGUCAGGUCGACGUCGGCACACGUCUCGCCGCACUGUGCCCGCUCCAAGCGCUGCUU
RNA transcript from Haliotis rufescens (red abalone), 1242 nucleotides. RefSeq lists it as uncharacterized. The record is from RefSeq and is a predicted model, not a curated record. The transcript is spliced from 6 exons. Lineage: Eukaryota; Metazoa; Mollusca; Gastropoda; Lepetellida; Haliotidae.